CCUACGGGAGGCAGCAGUGAGGAAUAUUGGUCAAUGGACGAGAGUCUGAACCAGCCAAGUAGCGUGAAGGAUGACUGCCCUAUGGGUUGUAAACUUCUUUUAUAUGGGAAUAAAACGUUCCACGUGUGGGAUUUUGUAUGUACCAUAUGAAUAAGGAUCGGCUAACUCCGUGCCAGCAGCCGCGGUAAUACGGAGGAUCCGAGCGUUAUCCGGAUUUAUUGGGUUUAAAGGGAGCGUAGGUGGAUUGUUAAGUCAGUUGUGAAAGUUUGCGGCUCAACCGUAAAAUUGCAGUUGAAACUGGCAGUCUUGAGUACAGUAGAGGUGGGCGGAAUUCGUGGUGUAGCGGUGAAAUGCUUAGAUAUCACGAAGAACUCCGAUUGCGAAGGCAGUUCACUGGACUGCAACUGACACUGAGGCUCGAAAUUGUGGGUAUCAAACAGGAUUAGAUACCCCUGUAGUC
RNAcentral lists this ribosomal RNA (460 nucleotides) under uncultured bacterium. Its description in RNAcentral is "partial 16S ribosomal RNA". It matches the Rfam family "Bacterial small subunit ribosomal RNA", at positions 338 to 795 of the family's 1533-position model. The record is from RNAcentral.